GGAAACUUAGCAAAGGUGGUCUAUGCGGGGGACUGAAAAUCCUUAGAUAAUGGUUCAACUCCAUUAGUUUCCAC
This 74-nucleotide transfer RNA is filed under the name uncultured phage cr112_1. RNAcentral's name for it is "crAssphage cr112_1 tRNA-Phe". It matches the Rfam family "tRNA". Rfam says of the family: Transfer RNA (tRNA) molecules are approximately 80 nucleotides in length. The record is from RNAcentral. Lineage: Duplodnaviria; Heunggongvirae; Uroviricota; Caudoviricetes; Crassvirales; Steigviridae.